Molecule: signal recognition particle RNA, 97 nt
Filed under: Planctomycetota bacterium
Lineage: Bacteria; Pseudomonadati; Planctomycetota
Description: Planctomycetes bacterium (activated sludge metagenome) signal recognition particle sRNA small type
Rfam family: Bacterial small signal recognition particle RNA
About the family: The signal recognition particle (SRP) is a universally conserved ribonucleoprotein involved in the co-translational targeting of proteins to membranes. Archaeal SRP consists of a 7S RNA and homologues of the eukaryotic SRP19 and SRP54 proteins.
Source: RNAcentral
GGUCCGGUCCCAUGCGAUGGGCGGGUUCGAACCGGGUCAGGCCGGGAACGGAGCAGCCCUAAGGAUUUCGUCCCAUGCGCGAGGUGCCCGGGCCCAC